CCUCACCUUCCGUGGGGGUAUAAAUUCCACCAAGAAUCAUCAACCUAGACGACAGCUUUGUGGCUUGCCGCCCUGAAACUCCCUACCUGCGACACACAGAACAUCCCUUCUGGUCCGGAGAAAACUCAGAAGCCGGUCUCCAUUUCCAAAUCUAUCUGGCUUUGGAUAGAACUGAUGUACUACUUAAUGGUUCACCCAAAAAUGCCCAGAAAGAAUUUAUUCGAACGCGUCCCUUUCGAUUUAAUGCCAUCUGCAUCUCCGGGAGCCACUUAGGAAUACUCGCGGAAACCACCAGCCCCUCUGUCCACAUUUUUCAAUUAUCCAGCUGAGGCCUGGGAACGUUUGUUGAGGUUGGGUGGUUUCUCAAGGGUUAAGGCCAGAAAUGUUUGAAGAAAAUCAGCUUAAAUAUGUUGUACAACAAACAUGUUAUUGCGGGUCCUGGAGUUAGGCUAUGAUAAUGAAUUUCAGACUCAAAUAUUUUCUUUGAUUGUCACAAAAGUAUGCGAGGAGCCCAGGGUUUGCUUUCAGAGUUCGGCGUGGAGUUGGUGGCAUUUCGUUACCAGAGGCCAAUUGUAAGAAAAUUAUUUUCACAGCCAGAAGUGCUGAUAGGGCAAAGGGAGGGGGAACCCGCAUACCCUGUGUUGUGGAUGGUUAUUUAAAAGAAGGAUGAAUAAUAGCCACUGGUAUUUAAGUACUUCUGAAAGAAUGGCUUGGUGACAGAUACAAGUCACCGUAAAUCCAGCCAUCUGAGCUUAAUGACACUUGCUUCUGAGACCCUCCACUGCCCUUCCCAAGUAGACAGGGAUAUCUUCUCAUUGGUCUGAAGAGGAGCUCUCCGUUAGGUCAUUAAACAAGUCAAUAAUGUUGUGCAGUCAAACUAGAAGAAAAUACGCCGUUCGUCCUCCUCUCCCAGUGUUUACUGACCGUCAGGAUUCAUCACUGAGAGCCUGAGAGUUUGCUAUAAUUUUUUAAUUGGGUCCAGCUGCCAUGCUUUGCUUGGAUACCAGGCAGGACAAGAGCAAGACGAACCUAAGAGGAAGAUGGGCAUUUUGCCUGAUAAAGGAUUACGGUGGAAGUGAAAGGCUGACCUACAGUCAGGAAAUGUUAAUCAUUUUUACACCAAAGUGAGUGUAACGUUUCUAUAGGGAAAUUACUUCAAUUUGGUCAGUGCGGGGGGAGCAGUUUGUAUAAUCGGAUUGCAAAUAAGGUUUGAUCAGUUUCCAGCUUAAUCUACUCUCUGAGCACCAUUUACGCCACUAAAUCAAACCCAGAGAAGCUGCCUGCACGGUUUUACAGUCAUUACACCCAAGGGGCAGGGACUCGGUAAUAAACAGCAAAUAAAUCGCAGCACUGACUUGCCCGCUACAGGGCAUUUCUAAUUAUCCUCUAGUUUAGUUAGAAAUUGCUGUGCUCCCGUCAAGGCCUUCUUUAACCGCCGCUAAGAAGAGUGAUACUUCUAGGCAGAAUUAAUUGCGAAUAUGGAGAAAUGGAGAUUGUGCUUCUCUUUCCUUCCUCCCCCCACUUUGCCCCUCCCACCACUCCACCACCUUAUUGGAGGCAUUUAAAAAGCCCCGAGCAAGGUAUGCACGAGGCGUUCGUCUCUCUCCCUCCUCUCGAGAGGGAACCACAAAUCCAGCGUCUCUAGACUACAGCGUGCUGCACUUUGGAUGCAAAGAGCCGCCAGGGUGGAUGGUGCUAAUAACAGUGACUUACAAAGCAUCUCAAGGGGACCGAGGAAGUGACAGAGGCUCAUUCCAUGCUUGGACUUUGCAGAGGGUAGAGGGACCCACCCAUCUAUGGAACCAGACCAUACAGACCGAGUUGGAUAAAGCAGGCUGCAGGUGCCUUUGGUCUCCGCUGCUGAAUUACCAGAAUAUCACAGAGGCCCACUCUGAAAAGUGUAGUCCCAGGUAUAUCUUGAAGAUGACUGAAGGGACUGCUUGGGAAAUACCAUCAGAAGACAGGGUACUCAAAUCCUCCAAGCUGUCUGGAAUGAAAACCUGACUGAAGUCAUCCUCUGUGCAGGUGACCAGAAGGCAUGCUAUGGCCUAAGACAAUUUCUCUCUCAAGUUCAAGGGCAGUGACAUCAAGCCAUGGUGUAAAGAUACACUAUUUGCCAUAUGAUGACGAGGGGUCCGGAUCUCCUCUUCAUCGGCACAGAAAGCACUACCGCCUGAAUCAACCCAAGGAUCAUUCAGAAGAAAAUCACCUUUGUGUGAAAGCACGGAGAUUGGGCUUUGUCACUGAUCAUUGUGUCCUGUCCAAUGGUCAACCCAGCCUGGCUUCUUCCCUUGCCGUUGGGGGGAAUGCAGAAAAGCCUGGGGUCUGGAAACCACAUCCAAAGGCGGUGAGCGUGACACAGCGGUGUGCAGCCGCCAGACACCCCGGUGGGACUCUCGACUCUGUUCCCUUUUACUCUUGGGCAGUGAUUUCUCCCCGUCUCGGUGCCUUCUCGCCCAGCAUCCUGGAGACCUUUCUGUGUAGGACUAGCCUGACCCCACCUUCCUUGCUCUCAUCCUAAUCCCAAGCUCCGUCCUAAAUUCCUUCAUGAAUUCCUCAACCUGACAACUUCAGCCUUCUUUAAGCCCCUCCCUUUGUUAAUUACCCCAUGUGCAUCUUGUCCACAUUACCUGUUUGAUGCAGGCGUGUGUUAAACUGCCCGGUGGUAUCCAAGAUGGCGGCAGCAAGCCGAGUAUGUCCAACAUGUUCCUGACAUGAGUAGAUGAAGCUGAGGAAUACUGUCAUACAGGUUGCGUGUUUUGAAAAGUUAAUACCAAAAGGGAGGGCAUGUCAAGGUUUUUGCAUUUUGAUUCUGUGUCUAAGUGGUGCUUUAGUUUUGCAUGAUUAAAUAAAAUACCGUUGGAAUCAAUUUUACCCAUCUCAUCUGACUCUGUCAACUGUAUCACGUGUGGCUCCCCUUUGUGACGUGCAUUACAUUUUUUGCCUACGUACAUCCUGCUGUGUCAUGCUGAUGUGUUUAUAAAAAGAUAAAGAAAGGAGGGAUAUGUUUUGUGGGGGUGUGGUGAGGUGCGGGCAAGGGAGUGCCUCAGUAGCAUCCCUUCCCUGUGAGGGACCAGUCACAUGAUGCUAUAGUGCAGAAGAGAGUUUAUUCAGAGCAUGGGAUGGGGAAGGGGGUCAAGAGGGUAGUAGAGGCAGAGAGAGAGAGAGAGAGACAGAGAGAGAGAGAGAGAGAGAGAGAGAGAGAGAGAGGAGAAGGGAAGGGGAGGGGAGGGGAGGGGAGGAGAGAGAAGGGAAGGAGAGGAGAAGAGAAGAGAGAAGAGGAGAGAAGAGAAGAGAAGAAGAGGAGAGGAGAGGAGAGGAGAGGAGAGGAGAGGAGAAGAGAAGAGAAGAGAAGAGAAGAGAAGAGAAGAGAAGAGAAGAGAAGAGAAGAGAAGAGAACAGGAGGCCCUCCAUGAGCACGUGGAGAGAGGUGGGAGGGGAAUGGGAGGACCGAGCAGAGACAGGAAGGCAAGAGCAAAAGAGCAAGAAAGAGGGGGAGCAAGCAGCCCCUUUCAUAGUGUCAGGCAUACCUGGCUGUUGCCAGGUAACUGUAGGGCAGAGCAUACCUGGCUGUUGCUAGGUAACUGUAGGGCGGAGCAUAACUGGCUGUUGCCAGGUAACUGUGGGGCGGAGCUUAGACAGAAUGCUAACACAGGCAAAAGAGGCUAUAGAAGAGCCCCUCCUUUCCUAAAGGAUGACAGGCUAAGCCCUUGAACCGUCCAGCCUGCCUGCAGCAUUGAAAUAAGAUAGGAAGUUCAUCAGGGUCUGGAGACACAGUUCAGUCGGCAAAGUGCUUUCUGCCCCAGACUGACGACCUGAGCUCAAACCUCAACACACACACACAAAGUUAGACAUGAUGGCACAUGUUUGUAAUUCUAGUACUGAGAGGAGAGAAUCCUUGGGGUUCGUUAGCCGAAUCAUUGAGCCUUACAGUCCUGUGAGAGGCCCUAUCAAUCCUGAGGAACGAUAUCUAAGAUUGACCUUCUGGUGUUUCUCCUACAGAUGCACACACAUGCACCCCCACCUGAACACACACACUCUCACACAUGCACCCCCACCUGAACAUACACUCUCAUACUUAUACACACACGUACUCUCACACAUACUCACACACAUGCAUCCCCACAUGAACACACACACUCUCAUACACUUACACACAUGCACCCCCACAUGAAGACACAUACAUACUUAUACAGACAAGUGAACACACACACUCACACAAUGCACCCCCACAUGAACCCACACACUCACACACAUGCACCCCCACGUGAACACACACACUCACACAAUGCACCCCCGCAUGAACCCACACACUCACACACAUGCACCCCCACGUGAACACACACACAUACACUCACACAAUGCACCCCACGUGAACAUACGCAAAGUGAUCAUCAGAUGAAAGUCUAAUCCCCAGCAUCCUCACAUGUCUCUCUCCAUGGCCUCUUCUUUCUAAGGCCUGUAGAGCUGUUCUUUACUCCUGAGGGUAGACAGGAGCUAGCCCCAACCAGCCUCUCAGCCUUUCCUUUUGGCUCCCUUCCCUGGAGGCGGUCCCACCCUCCGAUGAUGUUGAUUCGACCCCACCCCCACUGUUUAUCAAUGAUCCAUUCACAUGUCUGUGUGAAUGACUGAUUAGCAAAAGUCCGGCCCUCCUCUCCCAUUGUCCUUUCAGCAAAGGCAGAAAUCUCCAAGUUAGCUCAACAGAAGUGCAACUUAACAAAGUGACCAUAUGCUCAGCGAGCUGCAGGAAGGGGGCGCUCUCAGACGUCUAACCUUGAGAGGCCUGAGAGGCCACCCUGCCUUCAUUUUCUGUCCAAGUGCGCCGGGAACAAAACAGAAGCUUUUGCAGUGGGCUCCUGAAUAGGAGUGGUGCAUGAGCCUCCCCUGACCAGACGCUGCUGUGCCUCGGUUAUUUACCACCUCUGGUUGCCUGUGUCUUCUCUCUGACUGUCCUUCAGUCACUACGGCAUCUUCUAGACACACCGUCUUUUCCCAUAUGCUCCCUGUUGUGGCUUCCUGUCCUCACUGUCCCGUGGUUGGUGACAGUUUCGUCUUCAUUGAGGGAUCGUCUUACUCACACCUGGGGACCACGGCUGCUUUAGAUUCUAAUCCAUGGGGGUCUUAAAUCUCCGAAGAGUUUCCUGCAGAAAAACCUUGAUUAGCGGUGUUCCUUUUCGUCUGUUAGACUUAAAAUUCAGACCUUCCCUUGAGCUGACCUUUCUGGUUCCACUCCCUUAUCUUCUGGAGCUCCCUAGCCUUCCUGUCCCUCCCUGCUCUGCCCAGCAUCUGACUCCAUAGGCUUUAUCCCUAACCCCCACCAUGCUCGGUUCAGUGAUAUGCUCUGGUCCCGGCCAUAGACCUCUUCCCAGCCACCUUUGACCUCUGCUGGGCCACUCUUCAACACCUGUGGUGUCUCCCUCAUCCCCGGCUGCUUCUGCUCUGCCUCUUUAAUCCUUAAAAAAAAAGUUCUUUCAUGUUUCAUGUGCAGCAGCUACAUUGGCGGCACCCUUGUGACUGAAAAGCCUGACAGAACAGGUGUAGGAGGGAAAGACUUAUUUCCAUCCUGGCUCCAGGAUUCAGAGCUUGGACAGGACACAAUGGCAGAAGCAAAUGGAGAAGGCUGUUUACUCUGUGGGACUAACCUCCAAAGCAUGCCCUCGUGACCUACAUUGGCCAGCUAAGCCUCACCUCCCAAAGUCCCCACAGCAUCUCUAAAGAGUGCCUGCCACCGGUCAGCCACUCUUGAGUGUGUACCCCAAGAAUCUUCAGGGGACGUUUGAUACUUGAGUCAUUACAUCCUCCUGUAGUUUAUGCCUCAACUUCCCUUUCUUACCCAAGUCCCCAACGUUCUGUUUUAAGUUCUAUUCGCACAGUGUUCCCUCCUGAUAUCUGCACCCACAAGUUCAUGCACUCACACGAUACACAGAUCUCACUUGCCAUCGGUAGACCUCAGUGUCGCCACGGGACACUGUGUAUCUCUUAACCAUUUCAUCUCCCAGCAGAGACUGUCAAGCUUUUUACAGAAACUCACACCAAGAAGAAUUGAUUGACUUCCCAAAGUCACAUGGCCACCAUUCAAGGCCAGAUUCCAAGACUUAAACCUCAGCAUUCAUUGCAGAACACAUGCCAUUAUUUUAUAUGACAGUUGCAUGUUUUCUCAUUCCUGCUGCUACUGUCUGAGUUUCUUGCAGGCAGGGGCCUGAGGAUGAGAUUUUCUCUUCUUAUAGGAAAGAACUGGUUGUGGGGGGAUGGCUCAGUGGGAAGAGCGCUCGCUGAACUCAGAUUCCUAGCACCCAUGUCAACAAGCUAAGCUUGCCCAUGCUUGGGUAACUCCAGGGUUGGCGAAGACGGAGACAGGAGGAGCAUUAGGAUUGCUGGCUGCUAGCCCAGGUUCAGUGAGAGAUGCCAUCGGAAAGAGAUAAGGUAGAGAGUGUUAGAGAAGGUCAUCAUGUCCUCUGACUUUCCGGUGCAUGCAUAUACACCGAUAUAGACUUGCACAUGCAUGUACACACACACAAGAAGCAAGUGUUCCUUGGCUACAGCAUCCAGUUGCUCCAGGACUGGGCUUAUUAUAUGCCUCCUAGUAAACUGUUGACAAUUUCGCACCCGUAAAGUGCGUUCUGAAAGCCAGCCAAUGAACAACUUCAUUCUGGUUACUGCAUUUCGUAUCAACCAAUCAGCGUCAGGCUUACUGGAGUGUCAAGCAAUUCCUAAAUGCUCUUACCUCGGGGAAAAAUCCACUUCCCUGUUACCAUCUCCAUUCUUCCAAGCAUCCUUUAUAAAACGAGGCAUCAUCUCAUAUCCUGGCAGUGAGUAAAAACUGUGGAUCCCCUCUCUCUCCUACUCUUACCAAUCUUCCUGCACUACGCCAUCUGAUGUAAGAAAGUUUGGAGAUCAUUCCAACUUUGGGCUUACUGCACUUACGACAAAUGGAAUAUUCCAGCGUUCCUUUCAGUGCUUUCACGGGGAGUUCAAUUGUGUCUGACUGCGUGUCCACGUCACCUUGUUCUCCUUGCUGUUUUCUGGGUUUAUAUUUCCUAAGCCUUUAUUUUCAGCUGCUAAUAGUAGUUUAUUUACCCUUAUGUGAGUGGGCCUGUACACAGACGGCGUAGUAAGUGUCCAUGUGAAGGUCAGAGGACAACUGGGAGGGGUCAAUUCUUUCUUUUGUGCUUCCAUAGGUUUCGACUGGGGUCAAUAGAUUGGCGGCAAUUGCUUUUACCCGCUGAGCAGACUCACCAGCUGUCUAGAAGUUAUUGUGAAGACAAUUUUCAUAAACAGUAUAGAACUGGAUUGUGAUGUAAAUCCACUACAGAAUUGCCUUUCACUUUAAAAAGAACUCAAUCCCUUCAUACUAAUUGUAAUUUUUGAAACAUACUAUCUUAUUGUUUCAU
Molecule: long non-coding RNA, 7391 nt
Organism: Rattus norvegicus (Norway rat)
Lineage: Eukaryota; Metazoa; Chordata; Mammalia; Rodentia; Muridae
Source: RefSeq, a predicted model, not a curated record